Small nuclear RNA from Myodes glareolus (Bank vole), 105 nucleotides. The record is from RefSeq and is a predicted model, not a curated record. NCBI's taxonomy places the organism in Eukaryota, Metazoa, Chordata, Mammalia, Rodentia, Cricetidae.
AUGCUUUCUUUGGCAGUAUAUAUACUAAAAUUGAAACAAUAUACCGAAGAUUAGCAUGGCUCCUGUUGUAAUGACACACAAAUUCACGAACAUUUCUUAUAUUCU